GACGAACGCUGGCGGCGUGCUUAACACAUGCAAGUCGAACGGAAAGGCCUCUUUCGGGGGGUACUCGAGUGGCGAACGGGUGAGUAACACGUGAGUAACCUGCCCUUGACUUUGGGAUAACUUCAGGAAACUGGGGCUAAUACCGGAUAGGAGCUCCUGCUGCAUGGUGGGGGUUGGAAAGUUUCGGCGGUUGGGGAUGGACUCGCGGCUUAUCAGCAUGUUGGUGGGGUAGUGGCUUACCAAGGCUUUGACGGGUAGCCGGCCUGAGAGGGUGACCGGCCACAUUGGGACUGAGAUACGGCCCAGACUCCUACGGGAGGCAGCAGUGGGGAAUAUUGCACAAUGGGUGGAAGCCUGAUGCAGCAACGCCGUGUGCGGGAUGACGGCCUUCGGGUUGUAAACCGCUUUCGCUCAUGACGAAGCUUUGUGUGACGGUAGUGGGUAAAGAAGCACCGGCUAACUACGUG
RNAcentral lists this ribosomal RNA (467 nucleotides) under uncultured bacterium. RNAcentral describes it as "partial 16S ribosomal RNA". It matches the Rfam family "Bacterial small subunit ribosomal RNA", at positions 28 to 507 of the family's 1533-position model. The record is from RNAcentral.